RNAcentral lists this ribosomal RNA (253 nucleotides) under uncultured bacterium. RNAcentral's name for it is "partial 16S ribosomal RNA". It matches the Rfam family "Bacterial small subunit ribosomal RNA", at positions 524 to 776 of the family's 1533-position model. The record is from RNAcentral.
UACGUAGGGGGCAAGCGUUGUCCGGAUUUAUUGGGCGUAAAGCGCUCGCAGGUGGUUCAUUGCGUCGUGCGUGAAAGACCCCGGCUCAACUGGGGAGGGUCGUGCGAAACGGGUGAACUAGAGGCCAGUAGGGGGAUGCGGAAUUCCAGGUGUAGCGGUGAAAUGCGUAGAUAUCUGGAGGAACACCGGUGGCGAAGGCGGCAUCCUGGACCGGCAUUGACGCUGAGGCGCGAAAGCUAGGGGAGCAAACGGG